AUUUAAAUAGCUUAAUGUAGAGCAUAACAUUGAAGGUGUUAGGGUGGUGUUUAAUACCUUUGAGUA
Molecule: transfer RNA, 66 nt
Filed under: Teuthowenia megalops
Lineage: Eukaryota; Metazoa; Mollusca; Cephalopoda; Oegopsida; Cranchiidae
Description: tRNA-Phe
Rfam family: tRNA
About the family: Transfer RNA (tRNA) molecules are approximately 80 nucleotides in length. Their secondary structure includes four short double-helical elements and three loops (D, anti-codon, and T loops).
Source: RNAcentral